This 909-nucleotide ribosomal RNA is filed under the name uncultured bacterium. RNAcentral's name for it is "bacterial SSU rRNA". It matches the Rfam family "Bacterial small subunit ribosomal RNA", at positions 9 to 908 of the family's 1533-position model. The record is from RNAcentral.
GAGUUUGAUCCUGGCUCAGGAUGAACGCUAGCUACAGGCUUAACACAUGCAAGUCGAGGGGAAACGACAUCGAGAGCUUGCUUUUGAUGGGCGUCGACCGGCGCACGGGUGAGUAACGCGUAUCCAACCUGCCCACCACUUGGGGAUAACCUUGCGAAAGUAAGACUAAUACCCAAUGACAUCCCACGAAUACAUCUGAAGGAGAUUAAAGAUUUAUCGGUGAUGGAUGGGGAUGCGUCUGAUUAGCUUGUUGGCGGGGUAACGGCCCACCAAGGCGACGAUCAGUAGGGGUUCUGAGAGGAAGGUCCCCCACAUUGGAACUGAGACACGGUCCAAACUCCUACGGGAGGCAGCAGUGAGGAAUAUUGGUCAAUGGACGAGAGUCUGAACCAGCCAAGUAGCGUGCAGGAUGACGGCCCUAUGGGUUGUAAACUGCUUUUAUAAGGGAAUAAAGUGAGUCCCGUGAGACUUUUUGCAUGUACCUUAUGAAUAAGGACCGGCUAAUUCCGUGCCAGCAGCCGCGGUAAUACGGAAGGUCCGGGCGUUAUCCGGAUUUAUUGGGUUUAAAGGGAGCGUAGGCCGGAGAUUAAGCGUGUUGUGAAAUGUAGACGCUCAACGUCUGCACUGCAGCGCGAACUGGUUUCCUUGAGUACGCACAACGUGGGCGGAAUUCGUGGUGUAGCGGUGAAAUGCUUAGAUAUCACGAAGAACUCCGAUUGCGAAGGCAGCUCACGGGAGCGCAACUGACGCUGAAGCUCGAAAGUGCGGGUAUCGAACAGGAUUAGAUACCCUGGUAGUCCGCACGGUAAACGAUGGAUGCCCGCUGUUGGCCUGAAUAGGUCAGCGGCCAAGCGAAAGCAUUAAGCAUCCCACCUGGGGAGUACGCCGGCAACGGUGAAACUCAAAGGA